UUUCGCAUGGAGAUGUAAUCAAAGGAGCAAUCCGCUGAAAGAUGGACUCGCGUCCGAUUAGGUAGUUGGCGGGGUAGAGGCCCACCAAGCCGACGAUCGGUAGCCGGACUGAGAGGUUGAACGGCCACAUUGGGACUGAGACACGGCCCAGACUCCUACGGGAGGCAGCAGUGAGGGAUAUUGGUCAAUGGGGGAAACCCUGAACCAGCAACGCCGCGUGAGGGAUGACGGCCUUCGGGUUGUAAACCUCUGUCCUCUGUGAAGAUAAUGACGGUAGCAGAGGAGGAAGCUCCGGCUAACUACGUGCCAGCAGCCGCGGUAAUACGUAGGGAGCAAGCGUUGUCCGGAUUUACUGGGUGUAAAGGGUGCGUAGGCGGUUUGGUAAGUCAGAAGUGAAAUCCAUGGGCUUAACCCAUGAACUGCUUUUGAAACUAUCGAACUUGAGUGAAGUAGAGGUAGGCGGAAUUCCCGGUGUAGCGGUGAAAUGCGUAGAGAUCGGGAGGAACACCAGUGGCGAAGGCGGCCUACUGGGCUUUAACUGACGCUGAGGCACGAAAGC
RNAcentral lists this ribosomal RNA (559 nucleotides) under uncultured bacterium. Its description in RNAcentral is "bacterial SSU rRNA". It matches the Rfam family "Bacterial small subunit ribosomal RNA", at positions 184 to 760 of the family's 1533-position model. The record is from RNAcentral.